CAGUACCGUGAGGGAAAGGCGAAAAGAACCCCGGCGAGGGGAGUGAAAAAGAACCUGAAACCGUGUACGUACAAGCAGUGGGAGCCUCUUUAUGGGGUGACUGCGUACCUUUUGUAUAAUGGGUCAGCGACUUAUAUUCUGUAGCAAGGUUAACCGAAUAGGGGAGCCGAAGGGAAACCGAGUCUUAACUGGGCGUUAAGUUGCAGGGUAUAGACCCGAAACCCGGUGAUCUAGCCAUGGGCAGGUUGAAGGUUGGGUAACACUAACUGGAGGACCGAACCGACUAAUGUUGAAAAAUUAGCGGAUGACUUGUGGCUGGGGGUGAAAGGCCAAUCAAACCGGGAGAUAGCUGGUUCUCCCCGAAAGCUAUUUAGGUAGCGCCUCGUGAAUUCAUCUCCGGGGGUAGAGCACUGUUUCGGCAAGGGGGUCAUCCCGACUUACCAACCCGAUGCAAACUGCGAAUACCGGAGAAUGUUAUCACGGGAGACACACGGCGGGUGCUAACGUCCGUCGUGAAGAGGGAAACAACCCAGACCGCCAGCUAAGGUCCCAAAGUCAUGGUUAAGUGGGAAACGAUGUGGGAAGGCCCAGACAGCCAGGAUGUUGGCUUAGAAGCAGCCAUCAUUUAAAGAAAGCGUAAUAGCUCACUGGUCGAGUCGGCCUGCGCGGAAGAUGUAACGGGGCUAAACCAUG
RNAcentral lists this ribosomal RNA (693 nucleotides) under Escherichia coli. RNAcentral's name for it is "partial 23S ribosomal RNA". It matches the Rfam family "Bacterial large subunit ribosomal RNA", at positions 496 to 1191 of the family's 2925-position model. Lineage: Bacteria; Pseudomonadati; Pseudomonadota; Gammaproteobacteria; Enterobacterales; Enterobacteriaceae. The record is from RNAcentral.